AAAUUGAUUGACUUCAAGAGACGGUGGCAGCUCAUGAGGUGGGGGAUUCAUUGCUGCUCAAGUGCAUGAACAUCGCUUGUGGUUUAGUCCAGAGAUCAAAGCAAUCUGCAGCUCUUGGACUGCCCAUACCAGGAGCUUCUUCACCAACUUCAUUGCAUUGGUUCCAAGCUUCAAACGCCACUCUCAACCGAUCUCUUUUCAUUCCUAGGCCCCCGACAGCUGAGAUAUAAGGCGUCUCUCGCACGGCCUGAACACUCAAUAUUAGAAAAUUCAAUACUAGCAGCACAACCAUAUUCAACACCUUUUUCUCCAUCGCCAUUUUCCUGCAACAAAGUUGAGAUGUAAGAGAAAAGUGUGGCUAUUUGUAGCUUUGAACCUUUAUGGAGGAGGUUCUGAAAUUUUAGAUAAUCGUUAGUCUUUUUACAUGUAAUUUUUAAUAAUAAGAAUUACUAUUAGAUUUAUCUGUUAAAUUUUAUAUAUUUAGAAAAUUUACUAACUUAUUUGAAAACCACCUAAAAGUGGAUAUUAUUGUGCAACAGUUAAUUGUCUUUGGCGAGUCAGAAAGCCAAUAAAACAA
Molecule: non-coding RNA, 577 nt
Organism: Carica papaya (papaya)
Lineage: Eukaryota; Viridiplantae; Streptophyta; Magnoliopsida; Brassicales; Caricaceae
Source: RefSeq, a predicted model, not a curated record